Pygoscelis adeliae (Adelie penguin) is the source of this 1598-nucleotide long non-coding RNA. RefSeq lists it as uncharacterized. The record is from RefSeq and is a predicted model, not a curated record. NCBI's taxonomy places the organism in Eukaryota, Metazoa, Chordata, Aves, Sphenisciformes, Spheniscidae. The transcript has 2 exons.
UGGGGUCUCUGUGCUGUAGGACGGCAGGCCAGCCGCAUCUCGGUCCUUGGCUCCUGUUUGGCUGUUCCUGGGGAAGGAGGAAGAGGGGCCAAAAGCAGAAAUGCGGAACAACUUGCAUCCAGCUUUGAGAAGUACCCAAGCAGACUGCAUUUUUGGGCCAUUUCUCUUCUCUUGAGCCUGCAAAAGUGUUUGGGUCUGGCUUCUCUUGGCAAAUAUCUGUGAUGCUGCCUGAUGCUGAGCAGCAGCAAAUUCUCUUGUGCUUAGUUGCUCAGCUCAGAGAUCCAUGUGCUUACCUGGGGAAACAGAGAGACGUGCACUGGAUGCUGCAGUUCCAAAUUCAUUUUCAGCAACACAUUUAAAUAUUCCAGAGUCUUCUGGAAAAGCUUCUGUAAUAACCAGGGUGCAGACUUCCUCUGAAAUGACAAAUUCGGGCAUGCUGUUGUACCAUAAAACCAAUUCCUACAAGUUAACAUUUGGGUCCUUGCAGAAGGACUGCUACUUAGUGAUGGGGCUUGGCAGCAAUAAAGUGCAAAAAAGUGAUGUAAAGGGCAUAGGAAGUCAAGGGGUUCGGAAGGAGCAAAGGUGAAGGAAGAAUCUUUCUUCCUGUGGCUUUAAAGAAACAAGGCACAAUUUUUUUGCUAAAUUCUGUCUUCUCUUGCACAAGUUUAAAACCCAGAAAAGAUCACAGGUCAGAAUGGUUGAUAUGCUUUCCCUUAACACACAGGGUGCUCUUCCUUGACUGAAUGUAAAAGGGAUGAUACCUUUUUCAUUGUGUUGUGAAAUAAAUUGGGGCUUUUCAGGCGCUUGUGUCAAAACCAAGAACUUGAAAGCUCUUAGCCUGACACUGAAUGCUAUCUUCUGGCUCCCCUUUGAACAUUAUUGUUUUAUCUUGGAUGAGGUGGGAAAAACUAAGCUUGGGGUAAUUAACCGGUAAGAUGUCUAACAAAAAAUGCGCAGUGUACUUACCGGGAACAGCUGACGAACAAGCCUCUGCUCAAAAUAGGAAAGAAAAAAAUUAAAUGGUUAUAAUGCCAGAAUGGAAGAAAGACCUUCAGCCCUCACCUCCUUUCCCACCUCAGCUGUCACCCCAGUUACAAAAGGGACCAUCUCCCUUCCUGUCCAUCAAGAGAAAUACCAUGCGGGUAGGGGAAGCUCAGGUUUGGCUGGAACCUGAUGGUACAAACACCUCUUCACUGAGGUGAUACAGAAAGAGCUCCACUGACUUUGGAGUUAGUUGCUGUGAAUUUGGCCCACUGGAGCUAUGACCUCAUGCCUGGGAGUAUGAUAAAUUGUUUAAAAUGUGCUUAUAUUGCAAAUUGUUUUUCCCCGAGUUCAUUAGUAGUUGUAAUAUACGGUGACGAUGCCUCCAGGCUCAGCAGUACUUCAUGAAUAACGAACAGCACGGCAAUCUCCUCCCGUUGUGCCUGACCUGCUCACGCGUUGCCAGAGGAAGCGCAGGCUCUGCACAGCAGUCUGUGACUUCAGGUCAUUUCAUACUUGUAAACUUAACUCUGCCUCUAUGAACAUGUACGAUCUCCUAAUUUUUAUAGCAGUUUUGCUCCUGUCUUGUCAUCGUCCCAAUAAAAUUACUGUACAUC